Molecule: ribosomal RNA, 1367 nt
Filed under: Escherichia coli
Lineage: Bacteria; Pseudomonadati; Pseudomonadota; Gammaproteobacteria; Enterobacterales; Enterobacteriaceae
Description: partial 23S ribosomal RNA
Rfam family: Bacterial large subunit ribosomal RNA
Source: RNAcentral
AUAAUGGGUCAGCGACUUAUAUUCUGUAGCAAGGUUAACCGAAUAGGGGAGCCGAAGGGAAACCGAGUCUUAACUGGGCGUUAAGUUGCAGGGUAUAGACCCGAAACCCGGUGAUCUAGCCAUGGGCAGGUUGAAGGUUGGGUAACACUAACUGGAGGACCGAACCGACUAAUGUUGAAAAAUUAGCGGAUGACUUGUGGCUGGGGGUGAAAGGCCAAUCAAACCGGGAGAUAGCUGGUUCUCCCCGAAAGCUAUUUAGGUAGCGCCUCGUGAAUUCAUCUCCGGGGGUAGAGCACUGUUUCGGCAAGGGGGUCAUCCCGACUUACCAACCCGAUGCAAACUGCGAAUACCGGAGAAUGUUAUCACGGGAGACACACGGCGGGUGCUAACGUCCGUCGUGAAGAGGGAAACAACCCAGACCGCCAGCUAAGGUCCCAAAGUCAUGGUUAAGUGGGAAACGAUGUGGGAAGGCCCAGACAGCCAGGAUGUUGGCUUAGAAGCAGCCAUCAUUUAAAGAAAGCGUAAUAGCUCACUGGUCGAGUCGGCCUGCGCGGAAGAUGUAACGGGGCUAAACCAUGCACCGAAGCUGCGGCAGCGACGCUUAUGCGUUGUUGGGUAGGGGAGCGUUCUGUAAGCCUGCGAAGGUGUGCUGUGAGGCAUGCUGGAGGUAUCAGAAGUGCGAAUGCUGACAUAAGUAACGAUAAAGCGGGUGAAAAGCCCGCUCGCCGGAAGACCAAGGGUUCCUGUCCAACGUUAAUCGGGGCAGGGUGAGUCGACCCCUAAGGCGAGGCCGAAAGGCGUAGUCGAUGGGAAACAGGUUAAUAUUCCUGUACUUGGUGUUACUGCGAAGGGGGGACGGAGAAGGCUAUGUUGGCCGGGCGACGGUUGUCCCGGUUUAAGCGUGUAGGCUGGUUUUCCAGGCAAAUCCGGAAAAUCAAGGCUGAGGCGUGAUGACGAGGCACUACGGUGCUGAAGCAACAAAUGCCCUGCUUCCAGGAAAAGCCUCUAAGCAUCAGGUAACAUCAAAUCGUACCCCAAACCGACACAGGUGGUCAGGUAGAGAAUACCAAGGCGCUUGAGAGAACUCGGGUGAAGGAACUAGGCAAAAUGGUGCCGUAACUUCGGGAGAAGGCACGCUGAUAUGUAGGUGAAGCGACUUGCUCGUGGAGCUGAAAUCAGUCGAAGAUACCAGCUGGCUGCAACUGUUUAUUAAAAACACAGCACUGUGCAAACACGAAAGUGAACGUAUACGGUGUGACGCCUGCCCGGUGCCGGAAGGUUAAUUGAUGGGGUUAGCGCAAGCGAAGCUCUUGAUCGAAGCCCCGGUAAACGGCGGCCGUAACUAUAACGGUCCUAAGGUAGCGAAA